This 493-nucleotide ribosomal RNA is filed under the name uncultured bacterium. RNAcentral describes it as "partial 16S ribosomal RNA". It matches the Rfam family "Bacterial small subunit ribosomal RNA", at positions 29 to 508 of the family's 1533-position model. The record is from RNAcentral.
AGUGAACGCUGGCGGUAGGCCUAACACAUGCAAGUCGAACGGCAGCACAGUAAGAGCUUGCUCUUACGGGUGGCGAGUGGCGGACGGGUGAGGAAUACAUCGGAAUCUACUUUUUCGUGGGGGAUAACGUAGGGAAACUUACGCUAAUACCGCAUACGACCUACGGGUGAAAGCAGGGGAUCUUCGGACCUUGCGCGAUUGAAUGAGCCGAUGUCGGAUUAGCUAGUUGGCGGGGUAAAGGCCCACCAAGGCGACGAUCCGUAGCUGGUCUGAGAGGAUGAUCAGCCACACUGGAACUGAGACACGGUCCAGACUCCUACGGGAGGCAGCAGUGGGGAAUAUUGGACAAUGGGCGCAAGCCUGAUCCAGCCAUACCGCGUGGGUGAAGAAGGCCUUCGGGUUGUAAAGCCCUUUUGUUGGGAAAGAAAAGCAGCAGGUUGAUACCCCGCUGUUCUGACGGUACCCAAAGAAUAAGCACCGGCUAACUUCGUGC